This 253-nucleotide ribosomal RNA is filed under the name uncultured bacterium. Its description in RNAcentral is "partial 16S ribosomal RNA". It matches the Rfam family "Bacterial small subunit ribosomal RNA", at positions 524 to 776 of the family's 1533-position model. The record is from RNAcentral.
UACGUAGGGGGCAAGCGUUGUCCGGAAUCAUUGGGCGUAAAGCGCGCGUAGGCGGCCCUGUAAGUCCGCUGUAAAAGUCAAAGGCUCAACCUUUGAAAGCCGGUGGAUACUGCAGGGCUAGAGUCCGGAAGAGGCGAGUGGAACUCCUGGUGUAGCGGUGGAAUGCGCAGAUAUCAGGAAGAACACCAACGGCGAAGGCAGCUCGCUGGGACGGUACUGACGCUGAGACGCGAAAGCGUGGGGAGCGAACAGG